This 1492-nucleotide ribosomal RNA is filed under the name Lactiplantibacillus plantarum subsp. plantarum. RNAcentral's name for it is "Lactobacillus plantarum subsp. plantarum 16S ribosomal RNA". It matches the Rfam family "Bacterial small subunit ribosomal RNA". Lineage: Bacteria; Bacillati; Bacillota; Bacilli; Lactobacillales; Lactobacillaceae. The record is from RNAcentral.
GACGAACGCUGGCGGCGUGCCUAAUACAUGCAAGUCGAACGAACUCUGGUAUUGAUUGGUGCUUGCAUCAUGAUUUACAUUUGAGUGAGUGGCGAACUGGUGAGUAACACGUGGGAAACCUGCCCAGAAGNGGGGGAUAACACCUGGAAACAGAUGCUAAUACCGCAUAACAACUUNGACCGCAUGGUCCGAGUUUGAAAGAUGGCUUCGGCUAUCACUUUUGGAUGGUCCCGCGGCGUAUUAGCUAGAUGGUGAGGUAACGGCUCACCAUGGCAAUGAUACGUAGCCGACCUGAGAGGGUAAUCGGCCACAUUGGGACUGAGACACGGCCCAAACUCCUACGGGAGGCAGCAGUAGGGAAUCUUCCACAAUGGACGAAAGUCUGAUGGAGCAACGCCGCGUGAGUGAAGAAGGGUUUCGGCUCGUAAAACUCUGUUGUUAAAGAAGAACAUAUCUGAGAGUAACUGUUCAGGUAUUGACGGUAUUUAACCAGAAAGCCACGGCUAACUACGUGCCAGCAGCCGCGGUAAUACGUAGGUGGCAAGCGUUGUCCGGAUUUAUUGGGCGUAAAGCGAGCGCAGGCGGUUUUUUAAGUCUGAUGUGAAAGCCUUCGGCUCAACCGAAGAAGUGCAUCGGAAACUGGGAAACUUGAGUGCAGAAGAGGACAGUGGAACUCCAUGUGUAGCGGUGAAAUGCGUAGAUAUAUGGAAGAACACCAGUGGCGAAGGCGGCUGUCUGGUCUGUAACUGACGCUGAGGCUCGAAAGUAUGGGUAGCAAACAGGAUUAGAUACCCUGGUAGUCCAUACCGUAAACGAUGAAUGCUAAGUGUUGGAGGGUUUCCGCCCUUCAGUGCUGCAGCUAACGCAUUAAGCAUUCCGCCUGGGGAGUACGGCCGCAAGGCUGAAACUCAAAGGAAUUGACGGGGGCCCGCACAAGCGGUGGAGCAUGUGGUUUAAUUCGAAGCUACGCGAAGAACCUUACCAGGUCUUGACAUACUAUGCAAAUCUAAGAGAUUAGACGUUCCCUUCGGGGACAUGGAUACAGGUGGUGCAUGGUUGUCGUCAGCUCGUGUCGUGAGAUGUUGGGUUAAGUCCCGCAACGAGCGCAACCCUUAUUAUCAGUUGCCAGCAUUAAGUUGGGCACUCUGGUGAGACUGCCGGUGACAAACCGGAGGAAGGUGGGGAUGACGUCAAAUCAUCAUGCCCCUUAUGACCUGGGCUACACACGUGCUACAAUGGAUGGUACAACGAGUUGCGAACUCGCGAGAGUAAGCUAAUCUCUUAAAGCCAUUCUCAGUUCGGAUUGUAGGCUGCAACUCGCCUACAUGAAGUCGGAAUCGCUAGUAAUCGCGGAUCAGCAUGCCGCGGUGAAUACGUUCCCGGGCCUUGUACACACCGCCCGUCACACCAUGAGAGUUUGUAACACCCAAAGUCGGUGGGGUAACCUUUUAGGAACCAGCCGCCUAAGGUGGGACAGAUGAUUAGGGUGAAG